RNAcentral lists this ribosomal RNA (484 nucleotides) under Curvularia verruculosa. RNAcentral's name for it is "eukaryotic LSU rRNA". It matches the Rfam family "Eukaryotic large subunit ribosomal RNA", at positions 151 to 654 of the family's 3401-position model. The record is from RNAcentral. Lineage: Eukaryota; Fungi; Ascomycota; Dothideomycetes; Pleosporales; Pleosporaceae.
GAGGGCGCUUUGGCUUUGGCAGCGGUCCAAGUUCCUUGGAACAGGACGUCACAGAGGGUGAGAAUCCCGUACGUGGUCGCUAGCUAUUGCCGUGUAAAGCCCCUUCGACGAGUCGAGUUGUUUGGGAAUGCAGCUCUAAAUGGGAGGUAAAUUUCUUCUAAAGCUAAAUAUUGGCCAGAGACCGAUAGCGCACAAGUAGAGUGAUCGAAAGAUGAAAAGCACUUUGGAAAGAGAGUCAAACAGCACGUGAAAUUGUUGAAAGGGAAGCGCUUGCAGCCAGACUUGCUUGCAGUUGCUCAUCCGGGCUUUUGCCCGGUGCACUCUUCUGCAGGCAGGCCAGCAUCAGUUUGGGCGGUGGGAUAAAGGUCUCUGACACGUUCCUCUCUUCGGGGAGGCCAUAUAGGGGAGACGUCAUACCACCAGCCUGGACUGAGGUCCGCGCAUCUGCUAGGAUGCUGGCGUAAUGGCUGUAAGCGGCCCGUCU